AACAGGUACACAUUACAGACUUGCAAUGUCCCACGCUGACAAUACACUUCAAACCUAGGUUUUAUUUCGGAGACACAAAAUAUGAUCAGCAGGAGGACACUAGCAUUCCAUCUCUCGGACAUCCUCAACUUGCAGCCAUAUAUUUUAGUUGACUGGCAUGCAAUCUGCCGAGGCUGCACCUGCUUCCGUCACCUGAUUGUACAUUGACUUGAUAUUUCAGGUGCAUAUUGGAGUUUUCAAUGCUACACUAUGGCAUGAUAACUGUAUAAUAAACAUGUUGAUUUGAAGAGACCGAAAAAUCUAAGAUCGGAAAGAGGUGAGCUCAGAUUUUAUUGGUUAGAUAUGUUAGCGGGGUUUAAUAAGUUUUUGUUGAUCUUAAUAACUUGGUUCUAUUGACAUGUCAAAUUAAAAUCAAUUGCAUUGUUGUUAUUCAUAUGGAAUCCAUGGAUGGUACAAUAUGUGUGUGCAUAAUAACAAGAUAUUUUUGUUCCUAUUUUUUGUUCCGGUUCUUGCAUAUUUCUUAGAUGAUUGUUUAUGACCAGCUCUACUGUGGGGGAUAUAUUUAGUUUCAGUGUUGCACUUUAUAUUGACAUUCAGGUUUAGCCAUUAAAAUAAAGUGCUUAGUGCUCCAAUGCAAGACUUGGAUUCCUCGAGAACGUGUCCUUAAUUUUAGAGUUGAAUGCUAUGCAAGAAUAGAAGAUUCAACCUGUUACAUGAUACAUUUCGUAAUGUUCUGUGUUCAUUUUUUUACUAUGUUUUCAUGAAUGUGAUCUAGAGAAAAUGUAAGACAUAUCAGUCAUCAUCCUAGCAUAUUAGUUCCUAAUUCAUAAAAAUAUGCUAUACAUAAUAUGUAGCAUCACAUUAUAAUUCAAAUUGUUCAAAUUUUAUCAAAUGUCUCUAUUUCUUAGCUUUUUCAAACAUUAUUUCCUGAACAUGGACGGGUGCAAAAUGUUGCUAACUAAAACUGUUAUGAUUUUGUGAGGAUCACUCUUGCAUUCCAUUACCCUGAUAUGCUUGGUAAAUCACCACCACGCAACUUUGGUACAAACUGUGGAAGAUGGUGAAACCAAAUAUAGUGGUUGCCAUCCCCUAACAGAGUGCCUCAUACAACAAGUUUGUGAGCUACAAUGUUAUGGGAUCUUGGACACAUAUUAACUAUUACACUGUCAAAAGCAACACUCAGAUUAGAUGUCAUUCCACUAAAGAGGACACCCAGAGA
Molecule: long non-coding RNA, 1219 nt
Organism: Lolium rigidum
Lineage: Eukaryota; Viridiplantae; Streptophyta; Magnoliopsida; Poales; Poaceae
Exons: 3
Source: RefSeq, a predicted model, not a curated record